Molecule: ribosomal RNA, 261 nt
Filed under: uncultured bacterium
Lineage: Bacteria
Description: partial 16S ribosomal RNA
Rfam family: Bacterial small subunit ribosomal RNA
Source: RNAcentral
CGAACGGGUGAGUAACACGUGGGCAACCUGCCCAAANAGGGGGAGUAACACUUGGAAACAGGUGCUAAUACCGCAUAACCAUAGUUACCGCAUGGUAGCUAUGUAAAAGGUGGCUAUGCUACCGCUUUUGGAUGGGCCCGCGGCGCAUUAGCUAGUUGGUGGGGUAAAGGCUUACCAAGGCAAUGAUGCGUAGCCGAACUGAGAGGUUGAUCGGCCACAUUGGGACUGAGACACGGCCCAAACUCCUACGGGAGGCAGCAG